UUGAUAACAUGUUGAGAAUGUUUAGAAAGAUAUAAGAGUAAUAGUAAGUAAUACACACACACAAGAGUAGUAGUAAGUCAUACAUACAAGAGGGUUUCUAAGAAAAGAGAGCUUCACACAUAAAAAUCUAUUGAUCUGGUUGUGUCUCGUAUACAAGAAGAGAAAGGGGAGAGGAUAAACAGUACUUCUCCACUAGACUCUAAAUAUUGUAGCUAUAGUAUUUAUUGUAGUCUAUAAUAAAUAUUAUGGAGAGUGCCGGCUACAUUUAAUGAUCUCAACUUAAGAAAGGGCAUUUCUACCUUUGCUCUCCCCUCUCUUCUUUCUGUGCU
RNAcentral lists this long non-coding RNA (329 nucleotides) under Physcomitrium patens. Its description in RNAcentral is "long non-coding RNA (PPAT_LNC010767)". The record is from RNAcentral. Lineage: Eukaryota; Viridiplantae; Streptophyta; Bryopsida; Funariales; Funariaceae.